UUUGGACCAGCCGCGGCACGCUUGGCGGGGAGGGUGGUGCUUACUAAAAUGCAGAUUACUGGGCGCUACCCCCCAGGUAAAGCCUGGAAAUCUGCAGCUUAGCCAGUUCCACGGAUGAUUCCCGUCAGGUGGCCCCAGG
This is a microRNA precursor of Equus caballus (horse), 139 nucleotides long. The record is from Ensembl. Lineage: Eukaryota; Metazoa; Chordata; Mammalia; Perissodactyla; Equidae.